AGCAGGCUGCCCGCGAGAUGAGGACCUCGCAGAAGGGAAGUCAGAGCAAAGGCAAUAACAAGAAAAAGUAGAGAAAGAACUAAGGGACGGAGGGAUUGGAGGUAUGGAUUGAAGGAGAUGGCCACUGAAAUCAUUUCCAAUAUUCAAAUUCUGUGAUUCCGUAAAGUACAAGGUCUGUUCCCUGUUGAAUGCAGUGUUGACUUUUGGGCAAGUAUCUCUGCUACAAGAACCUGGCGUGAUGAGAAAAUUUUCCCCUGUCCUCUCUUGCCAUUGCUGUCUAAUAAAGGGUAAAGGCAAAGGGCAAGUCCUUCUCUGUAGAGGGCCAGCCUUAAGGUCCAAUAUGGGUUUAAGAUCCAGGACAGAGUUUGACCUUUGCCCAGGCUUAAACCCAAAGAGCUCAAUCAGUUAAGAAGCAGGGCUCUCCAAACUUCCCCCUGCUAGGAGGCUCCUGAGACAUUCCUUCUCAC
Molecule: non-coding RNA, 467 nt
Organism: Phascolarctos cinereus (koala)
Lineage: Eukaryota; Metazoa; Chordata; Mammalia; Diprotodontia; Phascolarctidae
Source: RefSeq, a predicted model, not a curated record